Molecule: non-coding RNA, 98 nt
Organism: Acanthosepion pharaonis
Lineage: Eukaryota; Metazoa; Mollusca; Cephalopoda; Sepiida; Sepiidae
Source: the annotation of a GenBank genome assembly
AUGAAACACCGAUACACGUACGGUCACUGAAGUUAAGCAACGUCGAACCUGAUCAGUACCUAGAUGGGUGACCGCUUGGGAAUACCAGGUGCUGUAAG